AGAGUUUGAUCAUGGCUCAGAUUGAACGCUGGCGGCAGGCCUAACACAUGCAAGUCGAGCGGUAGCACAGAGAGCUUGCUCUCGGGUGACGAGCGGCGGACGGGUGAGUAAUGUCUGGGAAACUGCCUGAUGGAGGGGGAUAACUACUGGAAACGGUAGCUAAUACCGCAUAACGUCGCAAGACCAAAGUGGGGGACCUUCGGGCCUCAUGCCAUCAGAUGUGCCCAGAUGGGAUUAGCUAGUAGGUGGGGUAACGGCUCACCUAGGCGACGAUCCCUAGCUGGUCUGAGAGGAUGACCAGCCACACUGGAACUGAGACACGGUCCAGACUCCUACGGGAGGCAGCAGUGGGGAAUAUUGCACAAUGGGCGCAAGCCUGAUGCAGCCAUGCCGCGUGUGUGAAGAAGGCCUUCGGGUUGUAAAGCACUUUCAGCGGGGAGGAAGGCGAUAAGGUUAAUAACCUCAUCGAUUGACGUUACCCGCAGAAGAAGCACCGGCUAACUCCGUGCCAGCAGCCGCGGUAAUACGGAGGGUGCAAGCGUUAAUCGGAAUUACUGGGCGUAAAGCGCACGCAGGCGGUCUGUCAAGUCGGAUGUGAAAUCCCCGGGCUCAACCUGGGAACUGCAUUCGAAACUGGCAGGCUAGAGUCUUGUAGAGGGGGGUAGAAUUCCAGGUGUAGCGGUGAAAUGCGUAGAGAUCUGGAGGAAUACCGGUGGCGAAGGCGGCCCCCUGGACAAAGACUGACGCUCAGGUGCGAAAGCGUGGGGAGCAAACAGGAUUAGAUACCCUGGUAGUCCACGCCGUAAACGAUGUCGAUUUGGAGGUUGUGCCCUUGAGGCGUGGCUUCCGGAGCUAACGCGUUAAAUCGACCGCCUGGGGAGUACGGCCGCAAGGUUAAAACUCAAAUGAAUUGACGGGGGCCCGCACAAGCGGUGGAGCAUGUGGUUUAAUUCGAUGCAACGCGAAGAACCUUACCUGGUCUUGACAUCCACAGAACUUAGCAGAGAUGCUUUGGUGCCUUCGGGAACUGUGAGACAGGUGCUGCAUGGCUGUCGUCAGCUCGUGUUGUGAAAUGUUGGGUUAAGUCCCGCAACGAGCGCAACCCUUAUCCUUUGUUGCCAGCGGUCCGGCCGGGAACUCAAAGGAGACUGCCAGUGAUAAACUGGAGGAAGGUGGGGAUGACGUCAAGUCAUCAUGGCCCUUACGACCAGGGCUACACACGUGCUACAAUGGCAUAUACAAAGAGAAGCGACCUCGCGAGAGCAAGCGGACCUCAUAAAGUAUGUCGUAGUCCGGAUUGGAGUCUGCAACUCGACUCCAUGAAGUCGGAAUCGCUAGUAAUCGUAGAUCAGAAUGCUACGGUGAAUACGUUCCCGGGCCUUGUACACACCGCCCGUCACACCAUGGGAGUGGGUUGCAAAAGAAGUAGGUAGCUUAACCUUCGGGAGGGCGCUUACCACUUUGUGAUUCAUGACUGGGGUGAAGUCGUAACAAGGUAACCGUAGGGGAACCUGCGGUUGGAUCACCU
RNAcentral lists this ribosomal RNA (1528 nucleotides) under Klebsiella pneumoniae. Its description in RNAcentral is "bacterial SSU rRNA". It matches the Rfam family "Bacterial small subunit ribosomal RNA". The record is from RNAcentral. Lineage: Bacteria; Pseudomonadati; Pseudomonadota; Gammaproteobacteria; Enterobacterales; Enterobacteriaceae.